AUCACACUCUAAGAAAUGUUCGGUAAAUUUUACCGUCAUUUUAGGGGUAAAAAAUUAAAAAAUAAGGUCGGUAAACUGAUUCACCGACAAAUGUCGGUAAUAAUCACCGACAUUGGAGGCGUGGCAUUAGUCAAUGUUGGGCGCGCACACUGGUAAAGAAGAGCAGCCAAUCAGACGCUAUAUUUCAAACGCGUAAUUUAUCACGCGCGGUUUUUUGUUGCUUUACUCCUUAAUUUGUCCGUUUGAUUUGACGAAUUCCAGACUUUUGGACUUCGAUAUUUGGUCAGCCGACAUUUAUAUCUUGGUCGCUUUUGUUAUUACUGCAGUAAUGCGUUGGCAGUAUUUCUCUAAGCCUAAGGCAAUGCAUCUUGGAUUCAAUAAUGUCAGUGCAGGUGUUGUGUUAUUUAGUGCUGGUUAUUAAUGUAUUGUUCAGUGUGAUUAUGGGGCUGUCUGGAAGUAGGGUAAGAUCUAUACCGUACCAAUUACUGAAUUAAUAUAUAUAUGAAUACAUACAGACAUACCGGUACUGCAGUACUGGCUAUAACAGUCUGACAGUACAGUAGUAUACGGUACUGGUAUAAGGUUGAUUGGAUGCAGAUCCAUGUUACGCCUGUCGAUACUUAACACAGCCAGAGCUUAAUUCGUAUUACCAAGUCUGAAUUUUUUUUUGUCAGUAGACUGGCAAAUGUCAGAAUGUUGAAAUGACAAUACAAUAUCUGAAUAUGCCCUCUUUACAGCUCUAGACUUGAAAUGUUAACAUCUAAUUACUGAAUCAAGAUAAACCGUCAAAUUACCAACAGCUUUAUGAUGAUCGCAAACCCAGACUGGACUACAGGGAACACAUGAACAGGCAGACAGGGGAAGGGGUGACGUUGCUCUACACCCAGAAACCGUGGCUUGAAGAAUAUGGCAUUAGAAUAAACAGUGUUUUCGCUUUAGAAACUGAAGAAUCUGAUUAAGCAGGCAUGAACAAAUUGUCUGCCCCAACUCUGAACUGUGAAAAAUUCAAUGUCAUAGGCUUCAAAAUAUUUGAGAUUCUUACUAACAUGUUAUUUCAAGGAAGAAGUAUUUGAGGUACCUCUUCCAUCUGAUCUACAAAGUUUGGUAAUACUGGAAAAGUCUGUAUCGAUUGAUUGCCCACAGAUUUUUGUCCUUGAACUCCAAGAGGAAAAGAAAAUAUAAAAGUUUAUAGAAAGAUAACUUGAAGUUAUGAAGAAGAAAAUACCAGUUCGUAAGAGUUCGUAAAAGCAAAUGGAUAAUGCAAUACAAUCAGCAUGGGCAACACUAACCCGGAAAGACUCCCCUUCUGCCAUAGACUAUUCUCUCACAAGGACUGUCUAUAGAGACUUGUUUAAAGAAACUAUGUGAACGGAUACCCUGCUAGCAUAAACUUCUUCAACAAGAAGUUUCUGUUUACCUCGCAUUUCUAACUUUUCACUAUACAAUUUCUCAUUUUUCCAAGUUUAAUCAUUCAUUUCACGUUCACAUUUAUUUUUUGAAUAAACCUUGUUUCAUAGAAUAA
Styela clava is the source of this 1522-nucleotide non-coding RNA. NCBI's taxonomy places the organism in Eukaryota, Metazoa, Chordata, Ascidiacea, Stolidobranchia, Styelidae. The record is from RefSeq and is a predicted model, not a curated record.